This 882-nucleotide ribosomal RNA is filed under the name Purpureocillium lilacinum. RNAcentral's name for it is "partial large subunit ribosomal RNA". It matches the Rfam family "Eukaryotic large subunit ribosomal RNA", at positions 24 to 939 of the family's 3401-position model. The record is from RNAcentral. Lineage: Eukaryota; Fungi; Ascomycota; Sordariomycetes; Hypocreales; Ophiocordycipitaceae.
CCCGGGUGAUAAGCAUAUCAAUAAGCGGAGGAAAAGAAACCAACAGGGAUUGCCCCAGUAACGGCGAGUGAAGCGGCAACAGCUCAAAUUUGAAAUCUGGCCCCCAGGGCCCGAGUUGUAAUUUGCAGAGGAUGCUUUUGGCGCGGUGCCUUCCGAGUUCCCUGGAACGGGACGCCAUAGAGGGUGAGAGCCCCGUCUGGUCGGACGCCUAGCCUGUGUAAAGCUCCUUCGACGAGUCGAGUAGUUUGGGAAUGCUGCUCUAAAUGGGAGGUAUAUGUCUUCUAAAGCUAAAUACCGGCCAGAGACCGAUAGCGCACAAGUAGAGUGAUCGAAAGAUGAAAAGCACUUUGAAAAGAGGGUUAAAUAGUACGUGAAAUUGUUGAAAGGGAAGCGCUUGUGACCAGACUUGGGCCCGGUGGAUCAUCCAGCGUUCUCGCUGGUGCACUCCGCCGGGUUCAGGCCAGCAUCAGUUCGCCGCGGGGGAAAAAGGCUUCGGGAACGUGGCUCCUACGGGAGUGUUAUAGCCCGUUGCAUAAUACCCUGGGGCGGACUGAGGUUCGCGCUCCGCAAGGAUGCUGGCGUAAUGGUCAUCAGCGACCCGUCUUGAAACACGGACCAAGGAGUCGUCUUCGUAUGCGAGUGUUCGGGUGUAAAACCCCUACGCGUAAUGAAAGUGAACGCAGGUGAGAGCUUCGGCGCAUCAUCGACCGAUCCUGAUGUUCUCGGAUGGAUUUGAGUAAGAGCAUACGGGGCCGGACCCGAAAGAAGGUGAACUAUGCCUGUAUAGGGUGAAGCCAGAGGAAACUCUGGUGGAGGCUCGCAGCGGUUCUGACGUGCAAAUCGAUCGUCAAAUAUGGGCAUGGGGGCGAAAGACUAAUCGAA